UAAAAUGCAAUGAUAGGGAAUAGUACACUCGGACCGGAGCACAGAGAACUGCUGGUUGCUGAGAAGCAGUGGAAGGAAAUUGUGGAACUCGCCUUUGAGCAGCUGCCUGAAAUUAUACAAGAGUAGGUGCAGACGGUUUCCACCGUUAUAUGGAGAGGAUAUAAGAAUACCGGAUAUCCGGAGAUUCCGUAUCCCAUGAGUGUAUGACAUUGUUCAUAAAUAAGAGUGGUACCGCGUAAGAUGAUAAUAUCUUUCGUCUCUUGC
Ruminococcus sp. CAG:9 is the source of this 264-nucleotide non-coding RNA. The record is from Rfam. NCBI's taxonomy places the organism in Bacteria, Bacillati, Bacillota, Clostridia, Eubacteriales, Oscillospiraceae.